UCGUUUUAGCAUUUUACAACUAGAUAAGGGUGUAGAAAGUAAUUUUUGUAGCAAGGUACUUUCCAUGUGACCCAACUCUAGAUUUUAGGAAUGAAUAUUUUUGACAUAAUUUUGUAUAUUCUGAAUGUAAACCGUAAGGAAAAACGCUUAAAAUGUUUUUUAUUUUUUGUCUAUUGAAUAAGGUAAAAGAGGAGAACAUAACUCAAGAACUCAUGCAAUUACACCGAUUUAAUACAUCUCCAAAAUUCUAGACUAGAUAUCGUCAAAACAUUUAUAAGGAGCAGUACUGCGUGGCGCAUAGGUGUACUGAGAUGAUGAUGAAAAUAACAUGAGAUUAUAAGAAGCUUCUGUACAACGGAUACCUCCAAUUAAAGGUCAAUUGUACACAGAAGUGUCCGUUAUUAGAGGCUCCGUCAUAAAUUGUUUACAUACCAUACAACUGUGCGUUAAGUGAGAACCAGCCUUUUCUGAUAGCUAAAAAAUUCAAAUUUUUUUAAUGCUUCAAAGAAAUAACUUCAUUCCUUAAAAAUUUUGUUGUGGUUUGUCAGCUUUAAAAAUUUAAAGAAUAAGCCUUGUUGAAAUUAUUAUAAUGACCCAUGUUCCAUGUUUUGAACAGAUAAUCGUUGGACUUAUAUGGUUAUUGGCUUUCGCCGUGGGAAACUCAACUUUAACACAGUUCAUGUAUUGUCCUUCUAGCUGACGCAUUCUUAUUCUCAGAUUAAGAAAAGACUUUCGAAAUUUCCCACAUGCUUUCUCGAUGUUAUCACGAUCCAUUCUUUCUAAAAGUGCAAGGCGGUACAGCAUGCUCCAUCAUGACAGGUUGUAUCUCCUAUCAAGAUAAACAUUGCCAAAGAAUACUUAAAUAACCGUACAAAGCAUUUACACGAAGAAUACCUAAUUUAAUUAAGAGCUUAUUAAUAGGUGCGGUAUCAUAGAAUUGAUAGCGAAAUAAGGAUAUUAAACAUAAAAGAUCACUCGACAGAAUGCUAGCUUGACAGAACAAGAAACUUGAUAACCAUUCUUAACAUUCGCGUCGUAUCCGUAAACAUACAGGGCAUUCCCUGUUUUCACAUCAACAUAGUGAUAUGUGACUUCUAUUGACUACACAUAAUCUUCUUUUGCUCAUUUAAAUCCUUUUUUGUUAUAAAAACAACAGAUGAUUGAGGAGAAUUUCUUGAUUCUUAAUACGUUUUACCGACGAGCGAACUGAUUCAUAAAACACACACGUUUGUUGGAUUUGGUUGCUUUAUUUAUCAAGAAAGUUAAAAUAUUGAUUUGAGUGUUAGAAGUGUACAAAUAAAAAGGAAGAAACCCUCGUUAACUUGGAACGAUUUGCAUGUCCCAAGCCUACAUCAAACUUUCAAAGGCGAUGGCACGUAUGUUGUAAGCCAAAAGACUCCAAACUUGGCUUUCAAACAUUAAUUGAUGAGCUGUUGACAGAUAUAGAGAAUCUUAAAAAACCACCACAUAGUAAAAGAAGAACCAGUAAACUAAAAAGGUUUAAACAUAGUUAAUGUUAACAUGAUCUUAUACAAGAAAUAGAUGUUAAAACAAAACGUCCGUGUUGGGGAAUUGUAAAGAAGGACAUUAAAGUUAAUAUAUAUACAUACAUACACUGGGUUUUAUAAAAGCUAUAAGGUAGCUUAAUGAAGAAAAAGUAUUUCAGACGAUUUUUUCGAACUAGUAGGCGAAGCUAGUUCUCAUACAAUGAGAACUCCGAUUUUUUGUUGGAUAUAGUACAAGUUCCAAGGAGCGAAUCAAUCGAAAAGUUUGGUCUACAAUUUUUUAGUUAAGUUUUAGUUAUGUGUUUGUAUUUUUUAUUUAAUACAUGUUUACUUGUUUUUGUGAGAAAUAUAGUAUUUUAUAUUACUUACUCUGUUUGUUAUCACAGCAGGAAAUGUUUGAGAAGCAGCUAGUAAGUUAAAUAUUUGGCAAUCGUUCGGCAUAAACGACGUUUGUCAACUUCUUUACCAUUGACAGUGUUUACACAAAUACAAGGUAAAAUUGGAAUGAAAACAAAGAAUAAAGGUUCAAAACGACUUCCUGUAUAGUUAAUAUCUUCAAUCGUUUGUCAAUAUUUAACUUAUAUUGUACCAGUCGUAAGACAAAGAAUCUCGAGUUCAAAGGUUAUUAAAGCUGUGUGUUCCACAGUCUUUUGUAGUGUCACAGUCAAAGCUUUUUUUAUUUAUGUUCCAAUAAGUCUUAUCUUGAGCCCUGUGAAUUAACUGUUAUUUGAGGACACCUAAGUUGUAUCACAGAUACGUCUCUGUUUAUUUUUUGUUUGUUUAUUUAUUUUAUUUGUUAUUUUCAGCUUGACUUUAUUUUAGUCCUUGUUUGUUUUUGUUGACUCGUUCUGCUAGUUUGAAAGUUCCUUCUAUGUUGAAACAGAUAAGUAACUGUACAUAAAUGAAGUACAUUUAUAAUUAAAAUUAUUUUAACGACGAAAAAAUAUCAUAUCUAUUA
Hydractinia symbiolongicarpus is the source of this 2463-nucleotide long non-coding RNA. RefSeq lists it as uncharacterized. NCBI's taxonomy places the organism in Eukaryota, Metazoa, Cnidaria, Hydrozoa, Anthoathecata, Hydractiniidae. The record is from RefSeq and is a predicted model, not a curated record. The transcript is spliced from 2 exons.